RNAcentral lists this ribosomal RNA (428 nucleotides) under Staphylococcus aureus. RNAcentral's name for it is "bacterial SSU rRNA". It matches the Rfam family "Bacterial small subunit ribosomal RNA", at positions 1 to 417 of the family's 1533-position model. The record is from RNAcentral. Lineage: Bacteria; Bacillati; Bacillota; Bacilli; Caryophanales; Staphylococcaceae.
UUUUAUGGAGAGUUUGAUCCUGGCUCAGGAUGAACGCUGGCGGCGUGCCUAAUACAUGCAAGUCGAGCGAACGGACGAGAAGCUUGCUUCUCUGAUGUUAGCGGCGGACGGGUGAGUAACACGUGGAUAACCUACCUAUAAGACUGGGAUAACUUCGGGAAACCGGAGCUAAUACCGGAUAAUAUUUUGAACCGCAUGGUUCAAAAGUGAAAGACGGUCUUGCUGUCACUUAUAGAUGGAUCCGCGCUGCAUUAGCUAGUUGGUAAGGUAACGGCUUACCAAGGCAACGAUGCAUAGCCGACCUGAGAGGGUGAUCGGCCACACUGGAACUGAGACACGGUCCAGACUCCUACGGGAGGCAGCAGUAGGGAAUCUUCCGCAAUGGGCGAAAGCCUGACGGAGCAACGCCGCGUGAGUGAUGAAGGUCU